GUGAAGAGGGAGCGUGAAGACACACACACACACACACACACGAACACUUGACACUUGAUGAAACUCUUGUGCGCAGCCGAGGUUUGUGUUGGUGAGACAUGAAAGCGGCCGCGUCGAUGCGCUCCGCGCUCUGAUUGGCUGACUGGCCUGUUACAGAUUACAGCGCGACCAGAGCCGAUGACAGGCAAGAUGAAACACACACAAGCGCGCGCACACACACACACGCACAAACACGCACACACACACACGCACGCACACGCACACACACACACACGCUUCCUUUUGUGUCCGGCGUGGUAACGGGGAAGAAGAAAAACAUAAUUCAUAUUAUUGCUAUCACCAACUGUAUUUUGUGUACAAACCUGUAUUUUAUAUACUGCAUUUUAUUGUUUUAUUCCAUUAAUUGCCAAUUAUUUUGUUAAACUAUUUUUGAUAUGAUCUUAUCUUAUAUCUUAUAUUCCUAAAUUCUCUUCGUCACAUCACCGUUUCUUUGCCAUUAAAAAAAGAAAACGUUUCCUGUAAUGGGUGAAACAGCGCCCCCACAUAGCGCCUGUUAAACGGACGGCGCCUCGUGUGUGGUCAAACGAUGGUAUUGCAGCCUCAUCGUGGGCGACAAACCAGGUUAAGUUGAUUAAAGCGUCGAAGAAGAUGAUGUUACCGGAAGUGUCUAACAACAUGGCCGCCCGAGGAAAGGAAGCUGUAAAGUUCAGUGUCAAUUAUCGAACUCUUUCACUUUGGAACCACAAAAGUUUAUCACUGUGUUUUGAACGAUAUAAGAGGAAGAAUCGAGAUGUACGUUUUUGAAGAAAUCAGCUCCCGUCGUUUGUGAACUGAAGAUGGAGAGAAGAGCCACCUGAGCAGCGACAGGUACUGAAGGACGUCAGCGACGUGACGUGGAACUUCAACUUCAAGAAACCACUACAUGUGGACAUAUUAAAAUCUUUGGCUUGUCUGAGUCUGAUGUGGUGGAUGAAGAUAUGAUGGACAGGCGAGCACGAGAACCUAUCGAGCAGAUCAGACGUUCUAAAAACAAAACAGCGGGAACAGAACAGGAGGGGAUGAAGACGACGACGAUGAGGAGGAGGACAGAAGUUCAGCGCUCACCUCACUCAUCUGUAAUUAAAUCAGAUGCUCGGAGUGAAUCUGGGGGAUUGUUGGCGCGACACCAUGUGGAAACAAACCCUCUGGGCUCAAGAGUCCACAUCUGGAAACAUCCAGGUCUUAAAGCCAAGUGUGAACCUCUGGCGACAUCUAGUGGCUCAGAUGUGUCCAGGCUCUCCCCAGUAAUAAUACAUGAAGGGCUCCUCUCCCUCAUCCAUUAAUCAGCAGGGAAGCUGAGCGAGUGAUGUGCCGGAGCUGUGUCUCUCCCAGACGCAGUGACUCCCUGGAGCCUCAGCUGGUUUUCCCGGCGUCCUCACUGCGUCAACCACUGUUCACUCAGCAUGUGGCUCCUCCAUGAACCAAGUGAGAAAUACAAGACACUGAUAUUAAUUCAGCUGAAAAGAGAAAUGACAGUAACUGGCCUUUCACCCUCUCUGCCGCUUUCCCUCCACUUUUCCCCUCUUUAAAUUUUCCUCAUGUCACGGCGGCAUUUGCAUCUCAGACAUGAACGUGGAUCAAUCAUCGCAGGGAGGGGAAGAACGGGCCGGGGUGUUAAAAUGUCCCGAUGAUUGGCUGCCUGUGCCGAGAGCUUUGUCAUCUGCACUUUCUCACGGCGACACACGGCCAUCGCGCUCUCGCUGGAAUCAGACGUCCGGGCAGUGGGCUCGUCUGCUCAGGCCGUUUAAACUCUAUUGUACGAGUAGACCCACAGGAUUUAAUUAGAAAAAAGUCGUAGUUAAUGAAGGUGGCAGCUGCAGCCGUCAAAAUACACACACACACACACACACACACACACACUCACACACACACUCACACACUCACAGACACUCACACACAC
Molecule: long non-coding RNA, 1939 nt
Organism: Scophthalmus maximus (turbot)
Lineage: Eukaryota; Metazoa; Chordata; Actinopteri; Pleuronectiformes; Scophthalmidae
Exons: 5
Source: RefSeq, a predicted model, not a curated record